This 224-nucleotide long non-coding RNA is filed under the name Gallus gallus (chicken). The record is from RNAcentral. Lineage: Eukaryota; Metazoa; Chordata; Aves; Galliformes; Phasianidae.
GCCCUCAGUCCAAGAAAUGACACAAGAAUGGAAGCAGCGAGUCUGCAUGACAACUGGAAUGUUAAUCACACCCAAAGCUCUACAAAAUGAAGAAUGUUAAGCUACAAGCAAGGCUGCUGCCAGCUCUCAUCAUGACAGUGAGGCGCUGGGGAAAGGCCCUUGGCUCUGCCCUAUGCUCAGUGUCGCGCUGCACUGAGGUAGCUCCUGUGCAUGUGCAGUGGCCC